Molecule: transfer RNA, 72 nt
Filed under: Bos taurus (domestic cattle)
Lineage: Eukaryota; Metazoa; Chordata; Mammalia; Artiodactyla; Bovidae
Also listed under: 2 other names
Rfam family: tRNA
About the family: Transfer RNA (tRNA) molecules are approximately 80 nucleotides in length. Their secondary structure includes four short double-helical elements and three loops (D, anti-codon, and T loops).
Source: Rfam by way of RNAcentral
UCCCUGGUAGCUCAGAUGGUAAAGCAUCUGCCUGCAAUGCAAGAGACCCAGGUUCGACCCCUGGGUUGGGAA